This 738-nucleotide ribosomal RNA is filed under the name intestinal bacterium CPA-44B. RNAcentral describes it as "bacterial SSU rRNA". It matches the Rfam family "Bacterial small subunit ribosomal RNA", at positions 28 to 749 of the family's 1533-position model. The record is from RNAcentral.
GACGAACGCUGGCGGCGUGCCUAAUACAUGCAAGUAGAACGCUGAAGAAAGGAGCUUGCUUCUUUUGGAUGAGUUGCGAACGGGUGAGUAACGCGUAGGUAACCUGCCUUGUAGCGGGGGAUAACUAUUGGAAACGAUAGCUAAUACCGCAUAACAGCUUUUGACACAUGUUAGAAGCUUGAAAGAUGCAAUUGCAUCACUACGAGAUGGACCUGCGUUGUAUUAGCUAGUAGGUAGGGUAACGGCCUACCUAGGCGACGAUACAUAGCCGACCUGAGAGGGUGAUCGGCCACACUGGGACUGAGACACGGCCCAGACUCCUACGGGAGGCAGCAGUAGGGAAUCUUCGGCAAUGGGGGCAACCCUGACCGAGCAACGCCGCGUGAGUGAAGAAGGUUUUCGGAUCGUAAAGCUCUGUUGUAAGAGAAGAANGUGUGUGAGAGUGGAAAGUUCACACAGUGACGGUAACUUACCAGAAAGGGACGGCUAACUACGUGCCAGCAGCCGCGGUAAUACGUAGGUCCCGAGCGUUGUCCGGAUUUAUUGGGCGUAAAGCGAGCGCAGGCGGUUUAAUAAGUCUGAAGUUAAAGGCAGUGGCUUAACCAUUGUUCGCUUUGGAAACUGUUAAACUUGAGUGCAGAAGGGGAGAGUGGAAUUCCAUGUGUAGCGGUGAAAUGCGUAAAUAUAUGGAGGAACACCGGUGGCGAAAGCGGCUCUCUGGUCUGUAACUGACGCUGA